RNAcentral lists this ribosomal RNA (508 nucleotides) under uncultured Pseudomonadaceae bacterium. Its description in RNAcentral is "bacterial SSU rRNA". It matches the Rfam family "Bacterial small subunit ribosomal RNA", at positions 903 to 1382 of the family's 1533-position model. Lineage: Bacteria; Pseudomonadati; Pseudomonadota; Gammaproteobacteria; Pseudomonadales; Pseudomonadaceae. The record is from RNAcentral.
UGCGCCUUGCCAGCCCGCUCAGAAACUUAAAGGAAUUGACGGGGGCCCGCACAAGCGGAGGAGCAUGUGGUUUAAUUCGAUGAUACGCGAGGAACCUUACCUGGGCUCGAACGUAAGAUGACUGUAGGUGAAAGCUUACAUCUCUUCGGAGCAUUUUACGAGGUGCUGCAUGGUUGUCGUCAGCUCGUGCCGUGAGGUGUCGGGUUAAGUCCCGUAACGAGCGCAACCCUUGUCCUUAGUUACCAGCACGUUAUGGUGGGCACUCUAAGGAGACUGCCGGUGACAAACCGGAGGAAGGUGGGGAUGACGUCAAGUCAUCAUGGCCCUUACGGCCUGGGCUACACACGUGCUACAAUGGUCGGUACAAAGGGUUGCCAAGCCGCGAGGUGGAGCUAAUCCCAUAAAACCGAUCGUAGUCCGGAUCGCAGUCUGCAACUCGACUGCGUGAAGUCGGAAUCGCUAGUAAUCGCGCAUCAGCCAUGGCGCGGUGAAUACGUUCCCGGGCCUU